ACCCCUACUCUUACGGGAGGCAGCAGUGGGGAAUAUUGGACAAUGGGCGAAAGCCUGAUCCAGCCAUGCCGCGUGUGUGAAGAAGGUCUUCGGAUUGUAAAGCACUUUAAGUUGGGAGGAAGGGUUGUAGAUUAAUACUCUGCAAUUUUGACGUUACCGACAGAAUAAGCACCGGCUAACUCUGUGCCAGCAGCCGCGGUAAUACAGAGGGUGCAAGCGUUAAUCGGAAUUACUGGGCGUAAAGCGCGCGUAGGUGGUUUGUUAAGUUGGAUGUGAAAUCCCCGGGCUCAACCUGGGAACUGCAUCCAAAACUGGCGAGCUAGAGUAUGGUAGAGGGUGGUGGAAUUUCCUGUGUAGCGGUGAAAUGCGUAGAUAUAGGAAGGAACACCAGUGGCGAAGGCGACCACCUGGACUGAUACUGACACUGAGGUGCGAAAGCGUGGGGAGCAAACAGGAUUAGAUACCCUGGUAGUCCACGCCGUAAACGAUGUCAACUAGCCGUUGGGAGCCUUGAGCUCUUAGUGGCGCAGCUAACGCAUUAAGUUGACCGCCUGGGGAGUACGGCCGCAAGGUUAAAACUCAAAUGAAUUGACGGGGGCCCGCACAAGCGGUGGAGCAUGUGGUUUAAUUUGAAGCAACGCGAAGAACCUUACCAGGCCUUGACAUCCAAUGAACUUCCUAGAGAUGGAUUGUGCCUUAGGGC
This 703-nucleotide ribosomal RNA is filed under the name Pseudomonas sp. Its description in RNAcentral is "bacterial SSU rRNA". It matches the Rfam family "Bacterial small subunit ribosomal RNA", at positions 329 to 1025 of the family's 1533-position model. Lineage: Bacteria; Pseudomonadati; Pseudomonadota; Gammaproteobacteria; Pseudomonadales; Pseudomonadaceae. The record is from RNAcentral.